This is a long non-coding RNA of Alligator sinensis (Chinese alligator), 233 nucleotides long. RefSeq lists it as uncharacterized. NCBI's taxonomy places the organism in Eukaryota, Metazoa, Chordata, Crocodylia, Alligatoridae. The record is from RefSeq and is a predicted model, not a curated record. The transcript has 3 exons.
CUUUUCUGUUUGUCAGAACAAGGACUGCAGGAGAAGUAGCUGGCACAUCACAUAGAAACCUGUACAAGCAUGAGGUACUGGAUCUGAGCCUGGUGGACUGGACUUCACCUUCAAACCUGCUGGUCUAAUCACCACUUCUGAUGGUUCGAGUUCCUGCAUACACGCCUUGUGAUUUGCAGACUUCUACCACCCUUUGGAGGCAGCUAGCCCUCAUUUGUGUCACCACCCACCCC